GUCUACGGCCAGACCACCGUCAAAGUACCUGAUCUCUUCUGAUCUCAGAAGAUUUUGAUAAAAGUGGAUUCUCAGAUAAAUACUUAACUUUUCAAAUACUUCCUAUGCUGUACAGU
Molecule: ribosomal RNA, 116 nt
Filed under: Marmota marmota marmota (Alpine marmot)
Lineage: Eukaryota; Metazoa; Chordata; Mammalia; Rodentia; Sciuridae
Source: RNAcentral